Molecule: ribosomal RNA, 253 nt
Filed under: uncultured bacterium
Lineage: Bacteria
Description: partial 16S ribosomal RNA
Rfam family: Bacterial small subunit ribosomal RNA
Source: RNAcentral
UACAGAGGUCUCAAGCGUUGUUCGGAUUCAUUGGGCGUAAAGGGUGCGUAGGCGGCGCGGUAAGUCGGGUGUGAAAUCUCGGAGCUUAACUCCGAAACUGCAUUCGAUACUGCCGUGCUUGAGGACUGGAGAGGAGACUGGAAUUUACGGUGUAGCAGUGAAAUGCGUAGAUAUCGUAAGGAAGACCAGUGACGAAGGCGGGUCUCUGGACAGUUCCUGACGCUGAUGCACGAAGGCCAGGGGAGCAAACGGG